This is a long non-coding RNA of Aquila chrysaetos chrysaetos, 998 nucleotides long. RefSeq lists it as uncharacterized. The record is from RefSeq and is a predicted model, not a curated record. Lineage: Eukaryota; Metazoa; Chordata; Aves; Accipitriformes; Accipitridae. The transcript is spliced from 2 exons.
GGAGGAGUGUCCCUGGUGGAGCCGCUGCCUGCAUGCUCUCGUUGGCCUGCUGGCUCUGAUACUGUAUUUUGCUACGUUGUGAGGAUGUUUCUGCUUGCCUAGAAUUCUGAGCCUAAAAUGCUGCUCGUUACGCUGUUUACAUUUCACGAGAAAGGGGAAAUCUACCGUAUGUGGCUUCUUGUGCAGCUUUGCAGUGCGUUUUGUGUUGGUGUUGUGGAUUGUUGGUUUGUUGUUUGGGUGUUGUGUUGUGUGUCCCCCCCAAAUCUCUCUUGAUCGUGGAAGUGAUGAAAUAGCAAGGUUUUAAGGAACAAAGAUUGAGAGAGGAAAAUUUUACAUUAAGAUUAAUAGAAGUAUAAGUCUUGAAAAAUAAAGCUCUCCUCUAUUGUCUCCUACUCCUUGAGCUAACUAUAUAAGUGCUUUAAAAUAUCUAGAAGUCCUGAAAGGAUAUCCUCCUAUGAAGUUUAUGAGUUUAUCAUCUUGAUCCCUUUUUAUUUAAGGCAUUUGCUUGAAGGUCUUCACAGAAAGCAACAGAAUUCAUUUAUGUAGGUAAGAACAAAAAAUUUUAUUAUAUAUAUGUUAUUUUAGGAGUUUAGCUUGGAGACAAAUUUUCUUGAAUUCUAGGCUUUCCUAACAGAUGUGGUCAAGCUUUGGAAGGCUUCUGUUCUUAUCUGAAAGGUGAAGGUAGUUUUCAUCUUGUUCCUGCAGCUAUGUUUCAUAUUCUUAUGAUGCUAUUGCUUCCUUUGAAAAAUACUAUACAGAAGUGGCUAAGUGAAGUGUUCUGAUAAUGCCCCAAACUUAAACAGUUCUUUCUGCUUGCUGCUGCUUCUUAUUUGAGCCAUUGGAAUUCACAGUUGUUAGUAAUGUUCGACUGACUGUUUUGGUGAUUAUGUUUCUGAAGCUUGGAGAAGAAGAAAAAAAUUUCAAAAUGUGCUACCCUACUUCUUGGCUGUUCCUGAAAGAGCUCUUUGGCAUGGCACCUUUAACAACAAUCUUUGGAU